CGUUAGCGGCGGACGGGUGAGUAACACGUGGGUAACCUACCUAUAAGACUGGGAUAACUCCGGGAAACCGGGGCUAAUACCGGAUAAUACAUGAAACCGCAUGGUUUCAUGAUGAAAGACGGUUUUGCUGUCACUUAUAGAUGGACCCGCGGCGUAUUAGCUAGUUGGUAAGGUAACGGCUUACCAGGGCAACGAUACGUAGCCGACCUGAGAGGGUGAUCGGCCACACUGGAACUGAGACACGGUCCAGACUCCUACGGGAGGCAGCAGCA
Molecule: ribosomal RNA, 272 nt
Filed under: uncultured Staphylococcus sp.
Lineage: Bacteria; Bacillati; Bacillota; Bacilli; Caryophanales; Staphylococcaceae
Description: partial 16S ribosomal RNA
Rfam family: Bacterial small subunit ribosomal RNA
Source: RNAcentral